This 468-nucleotide ribosomal RNA is filed under the name uncultured bacterium. Its description in RNAcentral is "partial 16S ribosomal RNA". It matches the Rfam family "Bacterial small subunit ribosomal RNA", at positions 28 to 507 of the family's 1533-position model. The record is from RNAcentral.
GACGAACGCUGGCGGCGUGCUUAACACAUGCAAGUCGAACGGAAAUGCCCUGCUCUUGUGCGGUGGUCGAGUGGCGAACGGGUGAGUUACACGCGAGUAACCUGUCCCUGACUUUGGGUUAACUUCAGGAAACAGGGGCUCAUAUCGGGUAGGAGCUCCUGCUGCAUGGUGGGCGUUGGUAAGAUUCGGCGGUUGGGGAGGGACUCGCUGCUUAUCAGCUUGUUGGUGGGGUAGUGGCUUACCAAGGCUUUGACGGGUAGCCUACCUGAGAGGGUAACCGGCCACAUUGGGACUGAGAUACGACACAGACUCGUACGGGAGGCAAGGGUGGAGAGUAUUACACAGUAGGCGGGAGGCUGGUGCGACAACGCCGCGUGGGGGAAGACGUGCUUCGGGUUGUGAACCAAUGUCGCCUGAGACGAGACGUGAGUGACGGUAAUGGAUAAAGAAGCCCCGGCUAACUACGUG